Non-coding RNA from Caenorhabditis elegans, 150 nucleotides. NCBI's taxonomy places the organism in Eukaryota, Metazoa, Nematoda, Chromadorea, Rhabditida, Rhabditidae. The record is from Ensembl.
UGAGUCUGCCUUCGUCUGCCUGCCUGCCUCAAAGGACAGGCUGGUUACCCUUCGAAGCAGGCAGGCAGAUCUAUAUCUAACCUACGCGCCUAACCUACGCGCCUAUGCUUGCCUACCUACAUCCAAUGCAACCAUCCAAUGCGAUUUAUU